UGGUACCGAAAUUCUCGUCUCAAUCUCCUCUAUCACAUUUAGCCAUAAAAAUAACAUUUUUGGCUUUCUAGAAUAAAUUCUCAUUUAUGGGUUAAUUAGCCGUUAAUUAACUGGGUCUUACAUUCUACCCACCUAAUUGGGAAUUUUGCCCACAAAAUUCAAAUGCAAUUACCUGAGAAUAAGUGCGGAUAAUCCGUUUGCAUCUCC
Molecule: long non-coding RNA, 207 nt
Filed under: Arachis ipaensis
Lineage: Eukaryota; Viridiplantae; Streptophyta; Magnoliopsida; Fabales; Fabaceae
Description: long non-coding RNA (AIPA_LNC002179)
Source: RNAcentral